AUGUUAUCAAGAAAGGUGGAGGGAUUAGACCCAACGAAACCUUAGCAACCCUUUAGCAAUAAAGAAGGUGCUACAUUCUACUAAAAGCAACGUGUUUUUGGAUAGAUAACCC
This 112-nucleotide non-coding RNA is filed under the name Mangrovimonas sp. DI 80. RNAcentral describes it as "SAM riboswitch aptamer (S box leader)". It matches the Rfam family "SAM riboswitch aptamer (S box leader)". From Rfam's summary of the family: The SAM riboswitch is found upstream of a number of genes which code for proteins involved in methionine or cysteine biosynthesis in Gram-positive bacteria. The SAM riboswitch acts at the level of transcription termination control. The record is from Rfam by way of RNAcentral. Lineage: Bacteria; Pseudomonadati; Bacteroidota; Flavobacteriia; Flavobacteriales; Flavobacteriaceae. RNAcentral also lists the same sequence under 1 other name.